UACGGAGGGUGCAAGCAUUAAUCGGAUUUAUUGGGCGUAAAGGGCGCGUAGGCGGAUAAGAAAGUUAGAUGUGAAAUCCUAGGGCUCAACCCUAGAACAGCAUUUAAAACUCCUAAUCUAGAGGGUGUGCGGAGGAAACGGAAUUCCACAUGUAGCGGUGAAAUGCGUAGAUAUGUGGAAGAACAUCAGUGGCGAAGGCGGUUUCCUAGCAUACAACUGACGCUGAGGCGCGAAAGCAAGGGGAGCAAAC
Molecule: ribosomal RNA, 250 nt
Filed under: uncultured bacterium
Lineage: Bacteria
Description: partial 16S ribosomal RNA
Rfam family: Bacterial small subunit ribosomal RNA
Source: RNAcentral